RNAcentral lists this long non-coding RNA (695 nucleotides) under Phascolarctos cinereus (koala). RNAcentral describes it as "lncRNA (ENSPCIG00000037390.1)". Lineage: Eukaryota; Metazoa; Chordata; Mammalia; Diprotodontia; Phascolarctidae. The record is from RNAcentral.
CUCUGGAGCAAAGGGUAUGCAUGACUUAGUAACUUUUGGAAACACAGGUCUAAAUUGCUUUCCAAAAUGGAUUUACCAACAGUGCUUUCAGUAGAGUGUCUAUAAAUGUUUAAUAACUGGCUCUCUGAGGGAGGAAAUGUGCACAUAGCCCAUUUUAAAGUUUAAUCUGCGUUAUUAAUAUUUUUUUCCCUGACACAAAUCAAUGGAAUAGAUUAGUUUAACCUUGAUGCAAUGUAGGUACCCAGUGUUCUGGGAGUUUCUCCCAGCAUCAGGUUUUGGUUUCACUUUUUCACAGUCCAAAGUCCGCUCACCGUUCUCCAGCUCUCUUCUCUUGACAUCAGAUGUGUGCAUUUAAUUGCUUCUCUUUCCUUUUAAUACCAGGGGAAAAAACUCUGUUGCUUUGAAGUUCAAUGAACCAGAUGGCGGAUAUUCUGAAAUUUUUUCCGAUCUAAAAGAACAUGGAACAAAAGCCAAGAAACGAGUGCUGCACCUGCCUCCCAGCUUCAGACUGAAGAAGAGAUAUUCAUCAACUGAAUCUGUGAUAAAAUGGAAAAAAAUUGUAUGCUCUCAGAUAAUGGAAUAUUUCAAAUCUUGGAAAGGGAAGAAGUGGGAAAGAAGGUAGCCUGCAGUGAAAAAAUUCACCUUUUUGUCAGAUGAUCAAUAAACUCCAGAGAAAGAUACUUUGAAAAAUAAAC